RNAcentral lists this transfer RNA (414 nucleotides) under uncultured Thiotrichales bacterium. RNAcentral describes it as "partial 16S-23S ribosomal RNA intergenic spacer". The stretch from base 72 to 145 matches the Rfam family "tRNA". The record is from RNAcentral. Lineage: Bacteria; Pseudomonadati; Pseudomonadota; Gammaproteobacteria; Thiotrichales.
CCUCCUUAAAAGAAGUGUGAAUCUUUCGUUUUAAGCGCCCACACAAUCUACUUAAUCAGUUCACCGACCGCGGGUCUGUAGCUCAGUUGGUUAGAGCGCACCCCUGAUAAGGGUGAGGUCGGAAGUUCAACUCUUCCCAGACCCACCAGGUUGCCUCCAAACCAGAGGCUUACCAAUCGGGGCCAUAGCUCAGCUGGGAGAGCACCUGCUUUGCAAGCAGGGGGUCGGCGGUUCGAUCCCGCCUGGCUCCACCAGGUGAUAAACGAUAGUGAUUUAGGCCACUAUCGUUUAUUUCUUGACGAAGUCGGGUCAGCGGACGCUCUUUAACAAUUUAGUAGUAGUGAUAUACGACGGUGAAGUCGAGCCUGUUUCAGGCGAGGCUUUACUGGGUAUACCAGCAUUUAUCAGUAGAUA